RNAcentral lists this ribosomal RNA (1380 nucleotides) under Triticum aestivum (bread wheat). RNAcentral's name for it is "partial small subunit ribosomal RNA". Lineage: Eukaryota; Viridiplantae; Streptophyta; Magnoliopsida; Poales; Poaceae. The record is from RNAcentral.
AUGGAAGCAGCAGCCGACGCCGGCGGCGUGCUGGAGGUGGUGGUGUUCCCAUGGCUGGCGUUCGGGCACAUGCUCUCGUUCCUCGAGCUGUCCAAGCGCCUGGCGGCUCGUGGCCACGCCGUCACCUUCGUCUCCACGCCGCGGAACCUCGCCAGGCUCCCGACGGUGCCACCGCACCUGUCGCCUCGCCUCCGCUUCGUGCCACUGCCGCUGCCGCGCGUCGACGGGCUGCCGGACGGCGCCGAGUCCACGGCCGACGUGCCGCCCGAGAAGAUCGAGCUCGUCAAGAAGGCCAUGGACGGGCUCGCGGCCCCGCUAGCCGCGUUCCUCGCGGAUGCCGUCGCUGCUGGCCGGAGACCCGACUGGAUCGUCCAUGACUUCUGCCACCACUGGGUCCCGCCCAUCGCCGGCGAGCACGGUGUGCCGUGCGCCGCGUUCAUGACCGUCUACGCCGCCUUCGUGGUCUUCCUGGGGCCGCGGUGGGCGAACGUCGAGCACCCGCGCGCUGCGACGGAGGACUUCGCCGUCGCGCCCAGGUGGAUCCCGGUCCCGUCCACGAUCGCGUGCCGACGCCGCAGCGAGGCCGAGUCGAUCGCCGCCCUCUUCCGCGCCAACGCGUCCGGCGUGUCCGACAUGGACCGCGUGUGGUUGCUGUUCGAGCGGUGCCGCGUGGCCAUCUACCGGAGCUGCGACGAGCCCGCCAUACCUGCCGGGAUCCUGCUACCUCCCGUGAUCGCCGACGAGGACGGUGACCGUCCUGAGAUCCUGCGUUGGCUCGACGACCAGCCUCCCAAGUCCGUCAUCUACGUCGCUCUGGGGAGCGAGGCGCCGCUGACUCCAGGGAUCCUGCACGAGCUCGCGCUCGCCGGGGUGCGCUUCCUGUGGGCUCUACGCAGGCCGUCCGGGAUGUUCAGCGCCGCCAUCGACGCCGUCACGGACGACGAUCUUCUGCCCGCCGGCUUCGAGGAGCGGACGCGGGGGCGAGGGCUGGUGCGCACCGGGUGGGUGCCGCAGGUGGUGGCGCUCGCGCACGGCGCGACGGGCGCGUUCCUGACGCACUGCGGGUGGGGCUCCACGAUCGAGAGCUUCGCGUCCGGGCACCCACUGGUUAUGCUCCCCUUCGUCCUCGACCAGCCCCUCGUGGCGCGCGCCAUGGCGGAGAAGGGGGUCGGCGUGGAGGUGGCGAGGGACGAGACCGACGGCUCGUUCGACAGGGACGGCGUCGCGGCGGCGGUGCGGCGCGUCAUGGUGGACGAGGAAGGGAAGGCGCUCGCGAGCAACGCCAUGAAGCUGCGAGAGGUUCUCACGGACCAGGGGCGGCAGGAGACGUACAUUGAUGAUCUUGUCGAGCACCUGAGGCGCUACAGAGGCUGCUGCUAG